Molecule: transfer RNA, 68 nt
Filed under: Anoplotrupes stercorosus
Lineage: Eukaryota; Metazoa; Arthropoda; Insecta; Coleoptera; Geotrupidae
Description: tRNA-Arg
Source: RNAcentral
AAAUAAGAAACAAUAAAUUGUAUUUAGUUUCGACCUAAAAUUUUGAUGUAUUAUAUCAUCCUUAUUUA